RNAcentral lists this ribosomal RNA (1110 nucleotides) under Triticum aestivum (bread wheat). RNAcentral's name for it is "partial small subunit ribosomal RNA". Lineage: Eukaryota; Viridiplantae; Streptophyta; Magnoliopsida; Poales; Poaceae. The record is from RNAcentral.
AUGGCAGCGCAAACACCUUCUCUCCUUGCCUUCUUAAUGUGGUUUUUCCUCGCCCUUGGUCUACUUGAUGUUGUAGGGGAGGUGGGACGUGCCUAUCCUCUUGCACGAUCAAACACCUCGAUUGCUACCUCUAUUUGUUUUGCCGAUCCUUGCCGGAGAGCCACCACUACUGUUUCCUUUUUCAGACUUGGUUUGAGUAGUUUGACUCAACUUGAGCUGUUUGAUGUCCGUAUUACAGGAAAUGAGUUAGCUUGCCUUCUAGAAAAUUCUGUUGCUUUGCAGCAGUUGGCACUCAUGUAUUGCAGUAAGAUUAUUAGACUGAAGAUACCUUCCCUGCUGCAGUGGCUCAUCACCCUUGAGGUGUCUAACUGUAAGAGGCUGCAAGCGAUAGAGAUUGAAGCUCAAUGUCUCUCCAAUUUUCGGUUUAUCAGUGACCACCUAGCACAUCUCUCGUUUGGAGAAGCAUUACAAUUGAAGACCCUAGUCAUGCAGUGUCGUGGUGCUCUCUGUUAUGCUCGUGCCAAUCUUCCAUCCAGCUUGCCAAAUCUUGAAACUAUUUCUAUAUGUUCACACAGUGAGAUGCUCAGUACACCAAUGAUUGGUAGCAAAUUUCCAUUCCUCAAGCACUUGACUGUUGUUCUUGCUGCGCCCCCAGCCUAUGAUUAUUGUUCUCUCAUAUCAUUUUUUGAUGCUUCUCCUUCAUUGGAGACAUUCAUCCUGAAUGCGGUGUGGAACAGCAUGCGGCAUCCAUCCAUUUUUGCAGAUCCUUCAGGUCGGAGGCAGAUGCCGGAGCACCACCAUGACAAGCUAAAGAGUGUGACUAUUACUGGUUUCUCCUCUGCAAAGUGCUUGGUUAAGCUAACAUGUCACAUUCUUGAGAGUACAAAGUCACUUGAAUAUCUUACACUGGACACCACCAACGGAGAUAGUGUCUCUAGGUGUUCUGUCAACGGAUCAGACAAAUGCUAUGGCUGCCCCAUGGGCAGGGAUGCCAUCGUCGAAGCUCGGCAAGGGCUCUUGGCCAUCAGGACAUACAUCGAGGGAAUUGUUCCGUCUAAAGUGAAGUUCACUGUUGUGGGGCCUUGCAGCCAGUGCCAUGUUGAGGGCUAG